Non-coding RNA from Bos taurus (domestic cattle), 73 nucleotides. The record is from Rfam. Lineage: Eukaryota; Metazoa; Chordata; Mammalia; Artiodactyla; Bovidae.
UCCCUGGUGGUCCAAUGGCUAAGACUCUGCACUCCCAAUGCAGGGAUCCUGGGUUCAAUCCCUGGUCAGGGAA